Molecule: non-coding RNA, 8511 nt
Organism: Rattus norvegicus (Norway rat)
Lineage: Eukaryota; Metazoa; Chordata; Mammalia; Rodentia; Muridae
Source: RefSeq, a predicted model, not a curated record
UAUUUAUUUAUUUAUUUAUUUUUUUUUUUUGGUUCUUUUUUUCGGAGCUGGGGACCGAACCCAGGGCCUUGCACUUCCUAGGUAAGCGCUCUACCACUGAGCUAAAUCCCCAGCCCCAUUUAUUUAUUUUAUAUGAAUACACUGUCACUUUCUUCAGACACACCAGAAGAGGGCAUCAGAUCCCUUUACAGAUGGUUGUGAGCCUCCAUGUGGUUUCUGGGAGUUGAACUCAGGACCUCUGGAAGAGCAGUCCACUGAGCCAUCUCUUCAGGCCCCAGAACUCUGGCUUUGAACUCACAGAGAUUUGCCUGUCUCUGCCUUCCCAGGGUGGGUAUUAAAGGUGUGUGCCGCCACCGCCCAGCACAUUAGGUGUCUUUUGAGGUUGCCUUGGUCAUGGUGUUUUGUCACAGCAGCAGAAAAGUCACUAAAAUGAGGCUGGAGGUGCUACUUACUCGGAGUGGCCCAGGCUGUGGCUCAGAGCCCUGCUCUGCCCUCUGCAGUGUGGCCUCUGGUAUCUCGGGGACCUGGGUUGCUGUAGCAUCUCCCCAGAAGUCUCCAAAAAUUAUAAAGCGCAUCUAUAACCAUGUCCUGAGUGCAGGCCUGGACCUUGGGCAGUCGCUGAGCCAGGCCAGGCAAUAUCCUGCAUUCAAAGCUGCCUCACAUCUCCCAGAAGAGCAAAGGGGCCAACAGCUAUUCCUGAAGGCUCAGAGAAAGUUCUUGGAAGCCCCCAGAAUCUGGACAGUAAGCCAGAGAGGUUCAGAGAACACACCAAGGGAGUCUAGAAGAGCCGAUGACCUUUUUGCUUUUGUCUUUUGGCACUCGCGACCAGUUGUAUUCGGCUGGCUUCCCAUGUCUUGUGUCUAGGCCUUAGGAAAACUGAGGCCCAGAGCUCCCUGGCUGGGCUGUGAGGCAUGGAAGGCCACUCAAUAGAUAGACUGCCAAUGACAUAGGCAGUUGCCCAUAGACUGUGGUCUUCCUCCAGGUAAGGAUGGUGGAAUGUGAGGUGCUACUGUUCCUGCUUCAGGAAAAAGAUCCAACUCCCCCCCCCAGGCUCUCCUCAUUUUGGCUUCCUCUGUGGGAAGGCUGCUUUAUGAAGAGAGCAAGGUAGAGUCCAUGAUGGAUGGGCACUGGUCGGGGGUGGGGAGUGGGGGGUGGCCUGCCCUGACUGGGCAGAUGGGAAGUAGCUGUCAGCACCUAAUGGGCCUGUGACAAAUGGGGUGGGAUUCAGUGGUAGCUACCUCUCCUCGCCUGCCCCCAGAAAGGCUCCAAGAGUGGCUAUUUCCAGCCCCAAACUCAGGAGUCAUUAUGUGAGUCUGGGGAAGCCCUGGAGAGGGCUGUGUCCAUUUCCUUGGUUCCGGGGUGGGGGGUGCAGUUUCCCCGAUCCCCAGCAUGGACAGAAGCAAACGGGUGGGGGCUGGGGCCUGAGGUGGGCUUCAAGUGGCCCACACCCUACUGACUGGCCAAAGCAACUGCUGAGCUCAGCGCUGGCUGACCCAGGGCUUUAGGGACCAUUAAAAACAUUCUGGGCUGCCGGCCGCCAGAGACAUCAAUCUGUGCUGGACACAGCUGCUUUUACCUCCCCCGAGCUCCUUCCAGAGCCUCGGCUCUCCAGCUUCGCUUUGGCCUCUCUCAGCUCCUAUCCUCCUAGAUGAGGGUCCCUCUGCCCUGCCACUCCAGAGAUGCCUAUCCCCACAGCCUCAGGCUACACGCUGCUGAGGGCUACCCUGGGGAACAUUCUGGGGGUCCCACUCUCAGGAAGCUGUACAGGAGAAGGGGGUGUCCAGCUAGGGAGGUGCCAUCAGUGCGUCAGAGGACCAGCAUGGGAAGAUGGGAAGCUGGAGGUGACAGCGGGGAUGGCCCUAGUGGCACUAUGCUUAAUGUCACUGACCUUUGCUGAAAAUGGCUGAGAGGAAACUUUGGAGUAUUUUCUAAUAGGCUGUGGAGGUCCAGUUCCAGCCUGUCUGGGCAGGAUCUGGGGUAGUUGUCUAUUUCUCAAGCUUGGGUGGGGUCCAGCUGCCCAUCCGAGGACCCUGGGAUUGAAGAGACGAUGACAGAGGUGGCUGGGCCCAGGCAGCAAGUGUGGCCCCUGGGUCCCAUUCACUGAUCCAAGGAGGAACAGCAGAGGGACAGCAAGCCAGGAACUUCCUGGGAGGCUGCUGUGAACGUUCUGUGUAACCAUGGAGGGGUAACCAUCCCAGGCCUGACUUAGGAGUCUUAGGGCUAGGGGGACAUGCCAUUGCCACCCAGAGAGGCACUUCCAAGGGAACAAAGCAGGGCUGGGCAUGGAAGACAAUUCACUGUGGGAAGAGCACUUCAUGGUGGCAGUGUGGGAUUUAGUCCCUCCUGCCCAUGCUGUGCCCAGUCUGUAAGAGAACCUGAAAACGCCCCUAGGUGGGAGGGAACGGGCCAGGCAAGCAGGAUCACUGGGACCCUGCUCUCACCAACCUUUAUGGUGCCCUGGGAUCUCUGGAAGGUGGGGCAGAAGACAGGGUGUUGAUGUGGCAGGGAUCAUGGCUGAGUUAAGGGAGCCAUUUUGUUCUUCGUGACCUGAGUUGCUGCAUCCCCAGCUUCCCAGUACACCGAGCCAAGGUUGCUGACCUGGCAGGGGCAGAGGGCAGGCUGCCACUGAGGCCGAGACGGGCGCCGCCAGUCCAGAGGGCUGCUCACUCACCAUUGAUCGGCCAGGAGGCUCUUCUGAGGUGUAUGAUGCUGCUUGUCCUGGUCAGGAAAAAAAAAAGCGGCCUUGCUCUGGGUAAUUGAUUGGUCCUCCUCUUUAAGAAUAUUCAUACAGCUCAGUUCCAAGAACAGGCGAGUCCCAGGCCCUAGUCAAGCCAGUCAUGAGGUGGGGAACACAGGACGCAACCCAUAGCCUCUCCCAAGCACAGAGUCCCUGCUCCUGACAGGAACAGCUACGGAACAGGGGGGAAAUGCUGGUGGUAGGAGGGUGGGGACUGCCUUCACAUAGAUGCUACUGCCUACCCUGAACAUUUCCAGGAGAUAAAAGGAACAAACCUUACUCUGUAUGCUGUGUGAUCCUGGCAGGUCUCUGAGCCUCUUUGGUGCUAAAACAGGAGCCCAAGACUAGCCCAGAACUUGUGAAGUAAAUCAGAGUCCCAGGCACCUCCCCUCUGUCCCUCUAACCACUUCUUCACAAUAACCAGGUGACGUUUUGUCUAUAGAUCCUCUUCUGUAUCAAGUGAACUGCCUGCUUAGCCCCUCCCCUUCCCACACAGCGCGACUAAAGCCUCCUCAGCCCGCCUGGGGGACUCCUAAGUAUUCUUCAAAACCCUCUUCUUUCCCACUUUGGGUUACUGUGUUCUGGUACCUGAGCACCCAGUAGCAGAUGCUGUCUUUGUCCAUGGGAGGUCCCUGUUACUUCCUGGCCCAUUGAGUGUUUGCCAAGGGAUUCAUUGGGUCCAGCUCCUCCAUGGUGAACAAAGACUUGGGUCAAGUGAGCUGAGAUCAUGUGCGUUAUAAAACACAGAGGUUUAUACAUUGAAUCUGUGCAUGUGUCUGUUUUGCCCCGACCACUGCUGGUAAGGAAACAGAGGCCAGAUGUUGCUGAAACAGGAGGGGGACAUCUCCAUUGGAAAGUUGUUCUAGCCAUGACACCUGACAGGCAAAGUCUCUGGGGUCAGGUCAGUGCCCUAGGUUUUGUAUGAGAGUCCUGGGAGUAGAGACUGGAUCAAGUCCUACACUGUCUCCAUGAGUCCCCCUCACUUGGGUCCCCAGAGGAGACAGCAGAAUGGGGGAGAGCUGGAUGCCACCAACAGAUCGUCUGGCCUCUAUGACAGGAUGGCGCCCUGGUAUGGCUAUGGGGCCAGGUCAGCACUGGUCAGCAUUGCCUCUCCCCAAGGGGCUGAGACCAGCAGGGGUCCGGAUGAUCUACUAUUGAUGAGGAGAGCGGGAGGGAACAGGCCCGGCCUGGGUCAGCAGAUCCGCUAUGCACAGGAUGUGCCUAGCUAUUGAUCCAAUAGACACAGGCUGGAUUGGGCUCUUGGGGGUUAGUCCGUUCAGACACAGUCUUGGGAGCAGGACUGUUUCUCCAUCAUGAGUGUGUGAUGUUUCCCAGUGCUUAAGCAAUGACUCCAAAGGCCACCUACAUACAGAGGACACCUGGCCCCCAGCUCCAUCCCUGACAACCAGGCUGUGGCUGUCUUGCUGACUGGUUGGCUUUGGGUGCCCCAGGACACAGACACUCCUGCAGAGACCAUGAUGCUAGUGAGAGAGUAGUGUGGUUACAGGCAGCAUGAGAUCUACAGGCCAGAAAGGGAAGCUGGCACAGGCAUAGAGAGGAGGGCAGGGGUCCCCAAAUGUCCUCUUGAACCCUGAAGACAGCCAUGAGGGAGACGCAAGAGGAGACCCUGACAGGCAGGAUAGCAGAUCUGCCAGAAGUGAGGAACUUUGUUGAUGGUGACUUGGAUUUUGCUACUGGCCCUGGGAAACCUUCAGAAUGGGCCCAUGCUCAGGUGGGGCUACUGCAGCCCUCUGUCUGUCUGUCUGCGUGACUUGCAGCUGGUGUGCACAGCCGCAGAUCAAUAGUAGGAAGCUGGUUUACUUGGUGAGCUCUGACAGCCUGUGGAGUCUCUCUAGACUGCAGACAGGGCCUCGGGCUGCCCACACUUCCCACCCAGCCACUACCACUAAUGAAUUGGGAUUUAAUCUAAGAGACUUUGGCAGGAAGUCUGACUCCAGGGGGCACUUGGUGAGGAGUGAGCAGGUGGUUAGGUUCUCCUGAUAGCCUGUUACCACCCACCUGCUCUUUGGGGCAGGAGCCAGGACUAAGCCUCAGUGGGCAGUUGACAGCACAUGACACAUCUCUCACAGUCGGGGCUCUGUUGGUAAAGUGAUAGAGUGAGAAAAGAAACCAGACAAUUCCUUCAGCAGCUUUGGGAGCUGGGUUUUCCGGAACGAGAGUAUAUUUACAAGGUAUGGUCUACAGAUCACGUGACCCCUGCCAGAGCAGAGUUAGUCAAGGGGACUGUGAGGAACAGGUCUUGGGUAUGGGUGGCCCUCAUGGCUCCUGAGGGACACUGAAUGCCAGGUAAGUUUUAUCAUCAUGGGCUUUCCCCAGAAAUGUCCUGCCCAGGGCCAUGAACCCCAAGGAAACUAGCAUAGGUGUCUGCUCUGCCUUCCUGGUAGGGUCCCCUGGCUGCUGUUAGGAUGGCAGCGAGUAUCUCAAGACAGUACUCCAUAGAGAGGGAAAGGGGCUUGUCAAUUUAAUGAGAAAAAUCUAUCCAGUCUCUUAGCCAUGUGCCUGACUGACAUAGGGCAAGAGCGAUCUCAGACAUCCGGCUUCAGCCUGGCUCAGCUUGUGACUCAAAAUGUAGAUGUGGGAAAGAAGCCCCCGCCCCACCCCAGGCAAGCCUGUCUGUGGGCUUCCUUAGGCCUCCUGAAGAGAUCGUUUGGCUUCUGACCUCUUCAGCAGCAAGCUUGUCCCAUGCAUCUCUGGCCUCCUCAGCCUCCCUCCCACCCCCAACAUCCCUAAGCUUCCUUAGCCUCCUUUGGCUGUUUUAGGCUCCUCCCUCAGUCACCUUGGACCUUUCUAGCUUCCACAGUCCUCUUGCUGGACAAUCCCUAGAUUGUCCAUCUGUCAUAUGGCCUAGGUAUGAGGUCCUGGGUCCCAGCUGUCCUCCUGUUUGCAUAGAAAGGGAUAGGAAAGCCACCUUCAUUUGUCCCCAAGUGAGAGCUGCCCAAUUCCUCAGGGUGCCUAGCCACCCUGUGGUCACCUUUAUAGCCCAAUGGCCUUCUCCCAUUAACAGCUAACAGCGUUGUUAUGACAGCUACUAGCUAAGGUCCACCAGCCUUGGCCCAAUCACCCACUCUGUGUUUGCACAGCCACAUCCUGACAGGUACCACGGACCGGGUGAUGCUCCUAUGACUACUUUCAUAGUCACCUUAUCUUUGUGGUCGUCCCUCCUCAGAGUCACUUCCCACCAUGGUCACCUCAUCUCACUAUCACUUCAUCCUUAAAACAGUCACCUUGCUCAGUGGUCACCCAGCUCAACCCAUGGUCACCUCACUCUGUGGUCACUUUACCUCCACGGUGACCUCGUUCCAUGGUGGCCUUGUCCUCAUGGGCGUUUUCUCCUCACAGAUACCACCGUUUGCCACCAGCAGCCCAUCUCAGUCUGCCUAACUACCAUUCAUGGAGGUCUGCCCUUUCACCCUGUAGCUUCCCAGGCUGGUCCUGCCCAUUUGGCCGUGUGUCAGGGAGCCAAUGGCUCACUUCCCGGAUGGGGGUCCAGGCCUGGGGCCUCUUGGGGGUCAUGGAGCCAGAGGCUCUGGGCUGACAACAGGGGCAGGUGUCACUCUUAGAAGUAAACACCGCCCGCUUAUAAUGAAUGGUGGGCCGCGGGGGAGCCACUGCGGUAUUUAACAGCCAAUAUUGGACUGUGCGGCUCAGCCUGGAACAGGCGCAUUAUGAAGGCUAAUGGAUUUUUGAGGCCAGAUUGAUUUUUCAUUAAUUUGGUAAAAAUCUUUUUCCUCUCCCCUAUAAUUCUGUCUUAAAACGCUCCCCCUGACAGCUCGAUAAGUCACUCCCGCCUUAAUGCACGUCUGGCUCAACGUCUGGGGCUGCGGGGGGGGAGGGGAAGUCAGAGCAGCUGCCAAUCACCCCCCAGGUAAAUACUGCAUUAUGCAUGGGGAUGGAGCCUGGCCCACCCCGAGGUGGACACACAGAGCAGCAGCUAGUCCAGGCUGCUGUGGACCGUUUCUGUGGGUUAGGCCUUGGCCACAGGCCUCCUAGGGCUUUUGGGAUGACAGCAAGUUACAGGACGUCAUUGUGAGGAGACCUGAAGCAGAGACCCCUCCAUGAAGGAUGGGACCUAAGAUUUGUAAGGCCUCUUGCUCACUCCCCCGCUCCCCCACCACAGCUCCAGCCUAAAGUCCGCAAUCCAGUCUGGAUUCUCACAACAGGGGGCUGCCAUUUCAAUCCUAGCCAAGGCUCUGUGUCCAGCUCUAGCCAUCAGCAGCUGGACCAGCCUGGGCCGGGCAGAGCUAUUUUCCCAUUUUCCAGCUCUCCUUGACUUCCUCCUCUAGAUGCUCCCACACUCCAUCCCGGGUUCCUAGGCUGUCCUUCCUUCUUCUCUACAGGUGACACUGGAGCUUCAGGUGACACUGGCCUUUCCGUCCAGCCAAAGAGUACACCCGGCAUCUCCUUCAUUGCCUUGGUGUCCACUCGAAUGCCAGCACCAAGAGAUCCCGCUAGAGCUGUCCACCGUUCCUAAUGCUACCCCGCUUCCCACGAGUCACAUCCUCAUGGCUGCCUGGGCCCAGACUGAACACUUAAGUGUCAGGGAUGGCGAAGAACAGAGUGAUGCAUAAAGGUGUUGAUGCCAGAAUAGAAGAUUUUGUUGGCAAAGCAGAAAGGAAUCGCGGCAUACGCGCCCGCGCCUCAGCCUCCUGCCCAGGGAGCCACUGUGAAAAUGAAGCACCCCUCCGUGGUGUGACGGCGAGUGCACAGACACCUCACUUCUUUGGGCCUUAUGUUUUCCCUGCUGGCUCUGGACCCUGGCUCUGCACUGGCUGUGAGGAGACAGGCAGGUCCCUUGUUCUUCCCAGGCAGCACAUGUGUAUGACAUCUGUCCCGUCUUCCUCAGGUACUCGGAGCCCUCACUGACCAGCUGGCCCGAGCCUUGUUCACGACCCUAGGGUCCACCUAUGAUCCACAAGAGUAAGCACUAUGUGACUGGGCCAGAAGGGGGUGCAGUCCAGAGCAGGGGUGUGGCCACGCGAAAGCAGCCCAAGGAGGCGACAUUGACUCUGAAGGCUGACGAGGUGCCAGCUAGGUAGGAGGGUUUGGGGAACUGUGUGGGGCUGGGUGGUAGGAAGACAUAUGCCAGGGUACAUGGGCCAGAACCGUCUACAUGCUGGUUACAUACACCUAUUUUCCUGUCUAAGCAAGUUCACGCAGAGGUAGGGCUUUCCUGGACACUCCGUCCCAGCCCAGACAGAAUUCUAGACUCAGGGGACCCUGGUCUCAGGGGUUUUCUCAACCUGGGCCUGAGUCAAGGACCUCUGUCCUGCCCAGGGACAGUGUGUUCUGGGCACUCGUCUCACCCUGCGGGAGGGCAGGGCUGAGCCACUCAGACACAGUGACACAGAACUGUACCAGAUUCCUUCCGGGAGGAGUCACCACAGCACCGGGACAGCCUUAAGAGAGGCCCCCGAAGUGGGGAAACUUUUGAGCCGGGGACUUAAGAGUUAAAGCCCAGUUAGCAGAGGCCCAGGAGCAGAGGCCCAGGCCCAGAAAGGUUAGCAGAGAGUGUGGAGACAGGCCCUGGUAGCCUGGCCACUCACUGUGGAGGAGGUGAGGCAGCUCCCAUGUUCAUCUUGACAGAUCACCCAAGGUGUGUGUGUGUGUGUGUGUGUGUGUGUGUGUGUGUGUGUGUGUGUGGUGUCCCACACUCACUGUCCUCCACAAGAUCUGCCCACCUUGUCAUCCCUGAUUAUCAUGUAAUGGCUUCCUUGACGUACAGUUUUAUUAAUAAAAUUAGCAAGUGUUGAGCC